GGGACUAAGCCAUGCGAGUCAACGUAGAAAUACGUGGCAUACGGCUCAGUAACACGUAGUCAACAUGCCCAGGGGACGUGGAUAACCUCGGGAAACUGAGGAUAAACCGCGAUAGGCCAUGAUUUCUGGAAUGGUUCAUGGCCGAAAUCUAUAUGGCCCCUGGAUUGGACUGCGGCCGAUCAGGCUGUUGGUGAGGUAAUGGCCCACCAAACCUGUAACCGGUACGGGCUCUGAGAGGAGGAGCCCGGAGAUGGGCACUGAGACAAGGGCCCAGGCCCUAUGGGGCGCAGCAGGCGCGAAAUCUCUGCAAUAGGCGAAAGCUUGACAGGGUUACUCUGAGUGGUUCCCGUUAAGGGGAUCUUUUGGCACCUUUAAAAAUGGUGCAGAAUAAGGGGUGGGCAAGUCUGGUGUCAGCCGCCGCGGUAAUACCAGCACCCCAGUGG
Molecule: ribosomal RNA, 443 nt
Filed under: uncultured archaeon
Lineage: Archaea
Description: bacterial SSU rRNA
Rfam family: Archaeal small subunit ribosomal RNA
Source: RNAcentral